Molecule: RNA transcript, 2791 nt
Organism: Contarinia nasturtii (swede midge)
Lineage: Eukaryota; Metazoa; Arthropoda; Insecta; Diptera; Cecidomyiidae
Exons: 6
Source: RefSeq, a predicted model, not a curated record
UAAUUUGACAUUUAAAAUUAUGAAACGUUCCAAACGUGAUGCACGGCAGCGACGGCAAAAAAAGCGAAAACUUUUGUUUGAAGUGAUUGAGAAUGAUGCAGCUGAUGAUGGACCAAAGACAGAGCUGCUCGCGCUCAAUGAAAAUUGUCUUGAAGAGGUAUUGGAGUGGUUGCCGUUAUCUGAUUUAGUGUGUUUGAGUACAACGUGUAAGCGAUUGCAAGGAGUCGUCAGUAGAUAUUUUAGUCGUAAAUAUCCAACAAAACGGAUGACAGUUAAAAUGGAUGCUCGACAACGAAUCGAAUUUUGGCCACGUGAAAAAUAUAUACAAAGGUUUCGUGAAUAUUUCCAGAAUAUUGGUAUAAGAGGUCGUCAGCCAGCAUUAUUUCGUCAUGUUGGAACCAUUUGCAACAAGACACUGAAAAAAAUUCGAAUUCUUGAGGCGACAGCAUUAACAGAAAUGCAUGGUCGUUGUAUCGAAGAGUUGCUAAAAAAUGUUGAAAUUGUUGAAUUCGAAGAAUGUUCGUUCGCAGCUGACUUUUACGAUUCUUUCUUGAAGUAUUGCUCAAAUUUGAAGCAAUUAGUGCUCAAGUCAUUUAAAGAAUGCACUCACAGUGGCAUUAAAAACAAAUGGCUACUUCAAAAAUAUCCACAUAUGAAACACUUGAAUUGGAGCUUCGACGAACCACCGCCCGAUGAGUUGAUAACAUUUUUUCAUCGCAAUCCGAAUGUUAGGAGUUUUGGCGCGGCACGUUUUCCACUUGAGGUUACAAGUUUAAUCAUGAAGGCCGGCAUUAGACUUGAAGUGCUAUGCUUGGAUAUUGGAUUUGGCGUGGAUCUCAACAUGAAGCAAAUUUUUCAAAGCAUUGAUACUCUACACAAGCAAAACCAAUUCAAAAAAUUACACAUGAUUCCAACUACUUCAAUGUUCGUUGCUGCUCGGUUUCCACCUUUAGAAUAUCUCGACGCUAUUAUGGCCAAUCAGGUGUUCGAAGAUGUCAUCGCAGCCAUGCACAGUUUGAAGGUGCUGUAUUUGGAUGCAAUUUUGUUUCGAGCUGAAGCUGAAAUUUUGGCACAAAAUCUAAUAAAUCUUGAGGAGAUUUAUGCAUACUGUGAUGCAAUUGACGCAAUUGUCCCUUUUGUUUUGCAUUCAGUAAAACUGAAAAAGAUUUAUGUAAACAAAACGUUUCUGCCAAAACACAUGCAGAAAAUUAAUCUCAACAAACUGAGCAAAGAACGGGCAAAAUUACAAAACGCUUGUCAUUUGGUUAUUUACCUAAAGGAGGAGUUAUAUAUCAAUAUUAAAUGGACGGUAGAAGAUUAUUAUUGUUUAUUUAUUGUUUUACGAUUAUUUUUCGAUUAGUUUCGAUUAUCGUCAUUCACAUUCAUACAUUAAUUCAGUAAUGUGCGAGCUACAUUUUACAGGGGGGAGGGGGGCGGGUUGGGUGAUUUAAGUGAAGAGCUAAAAAAAAAAAGGUCUUCACUUUUUUCGUGAAAAACCCUAGCAAAUUCGAAUAAUUUUCGCAAAAAAAUUUUUCUCAUCCAAAUCACAGGGGGGGUAAACCCCCCCUACCCCCCUCGCACAUUACUGCAUUAAUUGUAAUAUUACGUAUGAGAUUGUCAAAUGACGAUGAUGGAAAUUGAAUCUAUGUGAAAUAAAAAGAGAGAGUGUGUGUGUGUGGAUGAGUGAGUGAGUGAGUGAUAGAUGAUUGGGAAACCAUUAGAAUGUAAGACAAAACAUACAAAAGAAACAAAAGUCGCGACAGCAAACAAAUUGCUGACGAAAAAUUGAGAUUUGGUAGUAGCAGCAGAGAAGGAAUCAAUGUUGUACACACAGUAGCAUUGCAUCGGAACAACGUCACAACAACGACAACAUGGCGACGCAAACGGAUAAACGAAAACUGUAUCAACAGCAACAAGAAAUCACAUUCGGCUAACGCAUUCGCUGAUCAAUAUCGGCCACUGUCAACGACAAACCGAUUUAAAUGUGUUGGUGUGUAUUUGACUGUGACAUUUCAAACCAACAAGCCGGCAACAAUUCACAUCGUGACGAACCAUUGCCAGUGUAAGAACUAAAAUUCCUGUGCAUAAAUUUUCAGUUUGCAUUGAAAGUGAAAUAUUCUAUCGGAUUGGAUCUUUAUCGGUUUUUCCAAAAAAAGUGUUUGUUUCGUAGUUUGCCACAACUGUCCAACGGCCCCAAAUAUUGUUCUCAAAACUCCCAAGAAAUGGACGAUGAAAGUGCAUCACAGUCGACGAAAGAAAAUGGGUGCUGCACCAAGACCAAAGACAAUAGACUAUGAGCCCGAAUUCCAACUGAGAAAGGAAGGUGUUGUCAUGGAUCGUGAUCACAAUGCUUCACGCAAUAUGAUUUACAAAGCAUUGCGUAAGCUACAUCGUCAACCAGAUGAUCCCAUUUUCAAUAUGAGUGCUGCCGCAUGGAAACAACAAUAUCGUUCGAAUCCAGCAGUUCCAGCGAAUCGCCCGAUUCGUGCGAUUUGUGCGAAUCGUGUAGCAUAAUAGUAAAAGAAGUUAAGCCGCGGUCGUUCUAUUAGAAGUGACCAGCGGACCCAACCCUAUCGUAUUAAGACGGUAGGGAGUACUAUUCUAUAGUAGAAGAUUUGAAGCAGGGCCUCAUCGAAAUCAAAAGAGCCGAAUCGCACUUUAUCAACAACACAUUAGUUCGAAUGUGAUAGGAAUUUGAAAACAAAAAGUUUUAAAAAAAAUAUUAUCAUUUUAUUCCUUCAAUUUUCUUGAGUUACAAAAUAAAUCAAAAUAAAUUUUCAAAUGAUCGUAA